GUCUGUAUUGGAUCAGAUCAAGUAACAGAGUCAUUGUGAUGUAUUGAUUGGACAUGUUCUAAUAGUUUCAGCGCUUUGGACAGAUGUUUGCUGUGGUUUAAAAUGAAGACUGUAUUCUCUGUAGGUGAAUAUGGAAGGGUGGUUAGAGUUUCCCCCGGUCUCCAGUAAAGUGGAGCAGCAGAAGAUCCAGCUCUGAUCAGCAGCUCCACACCUUUGUACUCAGACUGCUCUGCUGGAGGAACACCAUCAGCUCACCUGCUGCAGAACUGAAUGCUGUCCUGUUCCCAGGUCAUCUUCUGAUCCCAUUGUCAACUUAACUACCUGAUUUGAAGUUUUUGAAGUUGCACAAAUACCAUCAGAAGAUUUCAAACAGAUAUUAAGUUGCUGAAUGAAGAGGAGAACAUGGCAUCCAGAGAAAUCUCUAACGUUCAGAAAACGCCCGCUUCAACACCUCACAAACAAAUGCGGAAAAAUAGAGGCAAGAAGAAAACUCACAUCUGUUCAGACUGUGGCAAAAGUUUUAAUAGCCAGAGAGAUCUCACAACACACCAGCGCAUUCACACUGGAGAGAAACCAUUUCAUUGUUUAGACUGUGGAAAGAGAUUUAAUCAACAGAUUCAUCUCAGUAGACACCGGCUCACUCACACAGGAGAGAAACCGUUUCACUGUUCAGAGUGUGGAAAGAGUUUUAAUCAACAGAUUUAUCUCAAAAUACACCAGCGCAUUCACACUGGAGAGAAACCGUAUCACUGCUCAGACUGUGGGAGGAGUUUUACUAUACAGGGUAACUUCAAAAAACAUCAGCGCCUUCACACUGGAGAGAAUCUUUAUCACUGCUCAGAUUGUGGAAAGAGUUUUAAUCAUUGGGGUAAUUUCCAGCGACACCAGUACAUUCACACAGGAGUAAAACCAUAUCACUGCUCAGACUGCGGGAAGAGUUUUAAUCAUCGGGGUAAUUUCCAGCAACACCGUCUCAUUCACACAGGAGAGAAACCGUAUCACUGUUCAGACUGUGGGAAGAGUUUUAAUCAUCGGUGUAAUUUCCAGCGACAUCGUCAAAUUCACACAGGAGUAACAGACAUCCCAAGUUGCAAAAGUUGAUUUCCUCUCUGUUUUCUCUCUCUCCUUACCACACACGAUUACAGAAAAAAAAGUCUGUCCCCUGUGUGCGCGUUUGUGUGCAGUGCACUCUUGGGGCAUUAUAUGUGACUUGCGGGCAUCCGGGAACCACUAUCGAAAUACGGGAGACUCCCACAGCUUCAGGGAGACUUGGUUUGCCUGGAGUAAAACCAUAUCACUGUUCUACACCUGUUAUGAUAUGAUAUUGCCUACUACUUCCAUCUUAGAUCUAGUUUGGGUAGUUUUUACCAGUAACGGAUUUUAGAGCUCAGAAGCUGAUGUUUGUUGGGAGAAGUUAUUGAAGAAAGCUGGUCAUCCAGGCAAGACCUAAACCGUUCAUCUUGACUAGCAAGGUGUUGUUUUUCCAUUGUCCAAGUUUGAUGUAAUAGCUGGUUUAUAAAAUAGAUAGGUAGUUAGUUUUAUUUUUGUCAUUGCUUAGUACCAAUACACAGUGUUAGAAAUUUGGCUUUCAGGAAUCAGUAGUCAGAAUUUGUUAGAAAUAUGCCAUCCGGGUCACGGCACCAAGUUGUUAGAAAUUCGGCCUUCAGGAAUCAGGAGACGGCUUCAGAGAUGACUUGAGUUUAUUCUCGUGCAGACAGAAAAUAUACGCGGGCACAGCUUAGUUGGUUGUUGCUCCCUCUGUGUCCGCCUGACUAGUCCAUCUGACUUUCUGUCUGUUACUGUCUGACCAACUGUCUUACUGACCGAGACAUUUCAGUAGGACUUUACAUACAGUAAAAACUGCUUUGAACACAGCAGGGGGAUGAAAGGUAGGGGUUUAGGUAGGAGUAUGUGGGGGGUGUCUUCAUUGGGCCUUGAUGGUCAUCAGAUGGUCGUCACCUUGAUUGGGAUUUCAAAUUAUAAUAUUAAUGACUUUUAAACAAAGGAGGCAAUGUUGACUAUCUGCAGAGACAGAUGGCCAUCAACUAUCUUCAGCAAUGAUAAAGAGUAUGAAGUGUAAAGAGGUAUAGGGGGGUAGGGUGUAAGUAAGUGUAGAACCUAUGUAAAGCACAAUUUGUAAUUAACAAACUCACAAUGUUGAAAACUUAAUAAAAGUACAAUUUGUUGUUGACAGAAUCUCUCAACAGCAACACCAUGCAGUUAGCAUGAGCAUUUAGCAAAAGUGCAAAAGUACCACAUUAUCACAACAAUGGCAAUAAGUACAUGUCUACGAAUAAUAUGUUAAAUAUAAUUAGAUGCACAGUUUCCAACUAAAGUGAGUACUUCCCCAACAUUUCAUCAGAUAUUUUAUCCUAUCUUUGCAUGUGACAACACUACAGAAUUAAAACUUCGAUAUAGCUUGGAUUCCUCAGGAAGGAUGUUUUGGGCUGUUAUCAAGUUGGUAAACUGCUGUGUGGCCCAUUUUGCUUCAGAGUGUUACAGUACAGGUUGGAAUUCGUGUUUUUGUCAAUGAACACCAUUCUCUAGUUACGGCAGCACUCUGGCAGCCCCAGAACAUGAUACUACCACCAGCAUGCUCGACUGUAGACAAGGCACAGUUAUUGCAGUACUCCUCACCAAGGCACCGCCACACAUACUGGACACCAUCUGAGCCAAACAAGUUUAUUUUAGUCUCUGCAGAUCACAGGACAUGGUUCCAGUGGUUCAUGCUCUUUGACUGUUUGAAUAAAAAGGUAAUUUUUUUGUGGAAUCAGGGAGGUCAGAGUGUUUUCAUCAGCAGUGAGAGCUGUGAGGAGAACGUGACCCUGAGUGUCUGAGAAGCUUCUCUGCUGUUCUGGGACCAGUGUAUAUGAACUUGGCUACAACAAGCUAACCGAGUGAAGUGCUUGAAACCUCUCCUCAGAUAGCCAGCGCAUGUCUGUUCUACACGGCGUAAAGUUAUACACAAGCCAUAAGAUCUUUCCAUCCACUCUUUUUUUUCCCCCGUUUAACUUCUCAGAGACAUGAGGAUCCUAACAUGAUACACAAGGACUGGUUGCUGUGUUUAUGAAGGACACAGAGCUGAACAACACCAUGAUGAAAACUUGUUGCUCAGACAGGCUGGAGCGGAUCACGUCAUCAGAACAAGACAACAAGCUGUUAACUGGAUUCUAUUGAUCUAGACAUAAUAAUGGACUCAAUCCAAUCCCCCCCCCCUUUUCAGUUUCUUUACUGCCUAAGUUGGUACUGCCCCUUUAAGAGAGGGAGCUAGUUUGAGGGUGCUGCUGUGAAGAGCUGCUGCUGUGAGGAGUUGCUGCUGCUGUAAAGAGAGUAUUUUCACCUUAAAAAGGUUCCUUGUGUGUGCUGAACUCAUUUUUUACUGAACUCAAUCUUUCAUUGAGUAUUUUUUUGUCUUUUGCUGCAUUAUUUGGAUGAUUGUACAGAAGUUUGGAGGUUGUGCUAAACUCCCUCAUGUAGCUUUAUUAGUUAUUAGAAGCACAGCCAACAAAGGUAGAAGCCUUGUCAAAUAUUGCACCCUUGGUAUGUUGCAGUUGAUUUUAUGUCAAAGUGUAAAAUAAGCGAAAGUGUUUUAUUUGUGUUAUAUUGUAGCUUAUAUUUUCCCUAAUUAAGCUAGACUCUGCAAUGCUAAGUAUAAACACUCUGUUUCACAAAUGUAUGCUAGACUGAUGUAAAUGUAUCUUUUUGAGUGCUGAUUCUACAUUGUUGUUAGUCAUGUAACUUGCAUUUAGGUGUAAAGUGUAUUUUUUUUUGUUUUUGUUUUAUAUUUUAUAGUUUUCACGGUGCUGAUUACGGUGUUCAUCUGAGAUAGAGACAUACUUGUCCAUCUACUGGAUUUAAAGACUCUGUGUUUUAUUUGAUGCCAAGGGCUGCUACAUACUCUUUUCUAAAGUUUAUUUUUAUUUACGUUCAUUUUAUAUAUCUGUAAUGCAGAAACAAAUUUUCCAAUAAACUUUCUUUUACAAUAUUUUAAAUUAGAAAAA
This is an RNA transcript of Astyanax mexicanus (Mexican tetra), 4001 nucleotides long. It is a transcript of the gene named zinc finger protein 345, with no coding region annotated. Lineage: Eukaryota; Metazoa; Chordata; Actinopteri; Characiformes; Acestrorhamphidae. The record is from RefSeq and is a predicted model, not a curated record. The transcript is spliced from 2 exons.